This 276-nucleotide ribosomal RNA is filed under the name uncultured Sphingobacteriales bacterium. RNAcentral describes it as "partial 16S ribosomal RNA". It matches the Rfam family "Bacterial small subunit ribosomal RNA", at positions 1107 to 1382 of the family's 1533-position model. Lineage: Bacteria; Pseudomonadati; Bacteroidota; Sphingobacteriia; Sphingobacteriales. The record is from RNAcentral.
ACCUUUAGUUGCCAUCAGGUAAUGCUGGGGACUCUAAAGGAACUGCCUACGCAAGUAGUGAGGAAGGCGGGGAUGACGUCAAAUCAGCACGGCCCUUACGUCCAGGGCUACACACGUGCUACAAUGGCCGAUACAGAGGGCAGCUACCUGGUGACAGGAUGCAAAUCUCCAAAGUCGGUCUCAGUUCGGAUCGGAGUCUGCAACCCGACUCCGUGAAGUUGGAUUCGCUAGUAAUCGCGCAUCAGCCAUGGCGCGGUGAAUACGUUCCCGGGCCUU